UGAGUUGAUCGGAUGGUCGCUAGCUUUUAGCUAGAGGAAAGUCCGGACUUCAUAGAGUAAAGUGCCAGGUAAUUCCUGGGAGGCGUGAGCCUACGGCAAGUGCAACAGAAAGAAUACCGCCAAGAAAUUGGUAAGGGUGAAAUGGUGGGGUAAGAGCCUACCGCGAGAUUGGUAACAACCUUGGCAAUGUAAACCCCACUUGAAGCAAAACCAAAUAGGGACCCAUUUAGGCUACUCGUCUAGGGUCCGGGUAGGUUGCUCGAGCAAUAUGGCGACAUAUUGCCUAGAUAGAUGGCCAUUUAAGACAGAAUCCGGCUUAUAGAUCAACUCACUCA
This 335-nucleotide RNase P RNA is filed under the name Gammaproteobacteria bacterium. RNAcentral describes it as "RNase P RNA component class A". It matches the Rfam family "Bacterial RNase P class A". From Rfam's summary of the family: Ribonuclease P (RNase P) is a ubiquitous endoribonuclease, found in archaea, bacteria and eukarya as well as chloroplasts and mitochondria. Its best characterised activity is the generation of mature 5'-ends of tRNAs by cleaving the 5'-leader elements of precursor-tRNAs. Lineage: Bacteria; Pseudomonadati; Pseudomonadota; Gammaproteobacteria. RNAcentral also lists the same sequence under 2 other names. The record is from RNAcentral.